GGUUUUGUUUAUCCUAGGGUGAACAAGGUAAUAAUAACAAUAGCAAUAAUAAUAAGGUCAUAACAAAGGUAAAUAGGCAUGGCUAAAUAAAACAGUGAUAACGCGGGAAUUUAAAUAAAGCGAUAAUGCAAUAAUUUAAAUCAACAUAAUUUUAUAAACUGGGAUUCAAUAUGUUCAAGGAUGAUGUGACUUGCCUUGCUCGCUUUCCCAAACGUCGGCUUCAACUUCCACGAAGAGCGGAUCUUCCGAAGCUGCAGCGUCUACACGACCAACGGAAAAGAAAAGGCUUUUACUCUAAUAAACUCCACAUAACAGCAGAAACAAAGCACAAAAAUGGGUUCUUGACUUCUUAAGGAAAAAUUAGAGACUUGAACGGUCCAAUUCCGAGUUCAAAUGGCCAAGUUAUGGCCAUUUGAAGUUUAUAUGCUCUUUAAAUGGAUAUUUGCGAAUUUCUUCAUUUAAAUUUUAAUUAAAAA
RNAcentral lists this unclassified non-coding RNA (476 nucleotides) under Hevea brasiliensis (rubber tree). The record is from RNAcentral. Lineage: Eukaryota; Viridiplantae; Streptophyta; Magnoliopsida; Malpighiales; Euphorbiaceae.